GGUUAAGCGACUAAGCGUACACGGUGGAUGCCCUGGCAGUCAGAGGCGAUGAAGGACGUGCUAAUCUGCGAUAAGCGCCGGUAAGGUGAUAUGAACCGUUAUAACCGGCGAUUUCCGAAUGGGGAAACCCAGUGUGACUCGUCACACUAUCAUUAACUGAAUCCAUAGGUUAAUGAGGCGAACCGGGGGAACUGAAACAUCUAAGUACCCCGAGGAAAAGAAAUCAACCGAGAUUCCCCAGUAGCGGCGAGCGAACGGGGAGGAGCCCAGAGCCUGAAUCAGCAUGUGUGUUAGUGGAAGCGUCUGGAAAGGCGCGCGAUACAGGGUGACAGCCCCGUACACAAAAGCGCAUGUGCUGUGAGCUCGAUGAGUAGGGCGGGACACGUGGUAUCCUGUCUGAAUAUGGGGGGACCAUCCUCCAAGGCUAAAUACUCCUGACUGACCGAUAGUGAACCAGUACCGUGAGGGAAAGGCGAAAAGAACCCCGGCGAGGGGAGUGAAAAAGAACCUGAAACCGUGUACGUACAAGCAGUGGGAGCACAGGUUUACCUGUGUGACUGCGUACCUUUUGUAUAAUGGGUCAGCGACUUAUAUUCUGUAGCAAGGUUAACCGAAUAGGGGAGCCGGAGGGAAACCGAGUCUUAACCGGGCGUUAAGUUGCAGGGUAUAGACCCGAAACCCGGUGAUCUAGCCAUGGGCAGGUUGAAGGUUGGGUAACACUAACUGGAGGACCGAACCGACUAAUGUUGAAAAAUUAGCGGAUGACCUGUGGCUGGGGGUGAAAGGCCAAUCAAACCGGGAGAUAGCUGGUUCUCCCCGAAAGCUAUUUAGGUAGCGCCUCGUGAAUUCAUCUCCGGGGGUAGAGCACUGUUUCGGCUAGGGGGCCAUCCCGGCUUACCAACCCGAUGCAAACUGCGAAUACCGGAGAAUGUUAUCACGGGAGACACACGGCGGGUGCUAACGUCCGUCGUGAAGAGGGAAACAACCCAGACCGCCAGCUAAGGUCCCAAAGUCAUGGUUAAGUGGGAAACGAUGUGGGAAGGCCCAGACAGCCAGGAUGUUGGCUUAGAAGCAGCCAUCAUUUAAAGAAAGCGUAAUAGCUCACUGGUCGAGUCGGCCUGCGCGGAAGAUGUAACGGGGCUAAACCAUGCACCGAAGCUGCGGCAGCGAACGUAUCACUUAAAGCGAUUCAGCGGGUUACGAUUGACGGAGCGAAGCGACGUCAAAGCGUAUACAAAGUCGAGUCGGUUUAAGGAUACGUUCGUUGGGUAGGGGAGCGUUCUGUAAGCCUGUGAAGGUGUGUCGUGAGGCAUGCUGGAGGUAUCAGAAGUGCGAAUGCUGACAUAAGUAACGAUAAAGCGGGUGAAAAGCCCGCUCGCCGGAAGACCAAGGGUUCCUGUCCAACGUUAAUCGGGGCAGGGUGAGUCGACCCCUAAGGCGAGGCCGAAAGGCGUAGUCGAUGGGAAACGGGUUAAUAUUCCCGUACUUGGUGUUACUGCGAAGGGGGGACGGAGAAGGCUAUGUUGGCCGGGCGACGGUUGUCCCGGUUUAAGCGUGUAGGUGUGUGUUCCAGGUAAAUCCGGUUCACUUUAACACUGAGGCGUGAUGACGAGGCACUACGGUGCUGAAGCAACAAAUGCCCUGCUUCCAGGAAAAGCCUCUAAGCAUCAGGUAACAUCAAAUCGUACCCCAAACCGACACAGGUGGUCAGGUAGAGAAUACCAAGGCGCUUGAGAGAACUCGGGUGAAGGAACUAGGCAAAAUGGUGCCGUAACUUCGGGAGAAGGCACGCUGACAUGUAGGUGAAGUGAUUUACUCAUGGAGCUGAAGUCAGUCGAAGAUACCAGCUGGCUGCAACUGUUUAUUAAAAACACAGCACUGUGCAAACACGAAAGUGGACGUAUACGGUGUGACGCCUGCCCGGUGCCGGAAGGUUAAUUGAUGGGGUCAGCGCAAGCGAAGCUCCUGAUCGAAGCCCCGGUAAACGGCGGCCGUAACUAUAACGGUCCUAAGGUAGCGAAAUUCCUUGUCGGGUAAGUUCCGACCUGCACGAAUGGCGUAAUGAUGGCCAGGCUGUCUCCACCCGAGACUCAGUGAAAUUGAACUCGCUGUGAAGAUGCAGUGUACCCGCGGCAAGACGGAAAGACCCCGUGAACCUUUACUAUAGCUUGACACUGAACAUUGAGCCUUGAUGUGUAGGAUAGGUGGGAGGCUUUGAAGCGUGGACGCCAGUCUGCGUGGAGCCGACCUUGAAAUACCACCCUUUAAUGUUUGAUGUUCUAACGUGGACCCGUAAUCCGGGUUGCGGACAGUGUCUGGUGGGUAGUUUGACUGGGGCGGUCUCCUCCUAAAGAGUAACGGAGGAGCACGAAGGUUGGCUAAUCCUGGUCGGACAUCAGGAGGUUAGUGCAAUGGCAUAAGCCAGCUUGACUGCGAGCGUGACGGCGCGAGCAGGUGCGAAAGCAGGUCAUAGUGAUCCGGUGGUUCUGAAUGGAAGGGCCAUCGCUCAACGGAUAAAAGGUACUCCGGGGAUAACAGGCUGAUACCGCCCAAGAGUUCAUAUCGACGGCGGUGUUUGGCACCUCGAUGUCGGCUCAUCACAUCCUGGGGCUGAAGUAGGUCCCAAGGGUAUGGCUGUUCGCCAUUUAAAGUGGUACGCGAGCUGGGUUUAGAACGUCGUGAGACAGUUCGGUCCCUAUCUGCCGUGGGCGCUGGAGAACUGAGGGGGGCUGCUCCUAGUACGAGAGGACCGGAGUGGACGCAUCACUGGUGUUCGGGUUGUCAUGCCAAUGGCACUGCCCGGUAGCUAAAUGCGGAAGAGAUAAGUGCUGAAAGCAUCUAAGCACGAAACUUGCCCCGAGAUGAGUUCUCCCUGAGACUUAGAGUCUCCUGAAGGAACGUUGAAGACGACGACGUUGAUAGGCCGGGUGUGUAAGCGCAGCGAUGCGUUGAGCUAACCGGUACUAAUGAACCGUGAGGCUUAACCUU
RNAcentral lists this ribosomal RNA (2988 nucleotides) under Salmonella enterica subsp. enterica serovar Infantis. RNAcentral's name for it is "23S ribosomal RNA". It matches the Rfam family "Bacterial large subunit ribosomal RNA". Lineage: Bacteria; Pseudomonadati; Pseudomonadota; Gammaproteobacteria; Enterobacterales; Enterobacteriaceae. The record is from RNAcentral.